CUUCAAUGUAUCAAAGUCAUUUCUAAAGUUGUUUAUUCUCCUUUAAAAUGUCUCACUUUGCUACCGCCUGCCAGUCGAAUGUUGCUUGUCUCCGAAAACAAAAGGAAACUUUUUUAUUUCAUUUUUCUAUGCACUCCGUCUGAUUGUUCGAAACGUCAAGAAACGUGAAUGUGCUGCUGUCGAUAUUUGAAUUGUGGGUGCGGUGCAGCAAAUUUUACUUAGAGGGAAAAACCGCUGGUACGAGCUCGAAACUGUUUUACUACACUGGUCGCUACCGCACCCGAGAAUUCCGGAGGCCAACCAACUUGCAACGAUGCAGCCGCUUGAAGAGCAGGCGGAAAACCUGCCAGCCAGGCGGUAGCGGCCUUUUAACUUAGCCUUCUGUGUACUUUCGUUGCGUACAGACGUUGUGGAGGUGCGGAAGAGAGCAAGAGAGAUUCGGCAUGCACAAAAAGUAAAUCUAAUUGGUGCAGUGUUGGUUAAACUAUGGUGGCACAUGUGCUAGAAGGUGAUCUAAGUUAAGUAUCAUCCGCUAACGCAACGUUUAAUAAUUCUAGAACAGUUAUGAACUUGCUGACGCAAAACGAUAGCUUUAACGUUCUUCAAACUUAGCAAGCAGAGUGAAAAAUCGGCGAAUUUCGCACCAGCAGAAGCAGCAAACUUCAAAAUGUCUAGUGAAAUAAAUGACGUGCUGCCUCGACUGUGCCGGGCAGCAGUGUAGUGCAGUCUGCCAGCUUCGGUCUGUAGCCUCCUGAUGACUUUGGAAAUAGUCGGUACGGUUCACACACAGGUUCCGACGGCUAGGCUCAUGUUGGUUGAUUUCCCUGACGGCUCUUCUUCAGGCGGACUAGGCGGCCAGCCUGAGUAGGGUCAGGUGAACUCUUACCGAAAGCUGCCACUGGGUAGGGACCGAGGGGUUGGGGGAAUUUGUUGAAGGGUUGCACGACGGCUGCUAAGCCUGGCUACGAUUUAUGCCUCACCGUACAGGAACAUGGCAUGAGAAUACGGUUUGGGUGUACUACAGCCAGCGCAACCGUGGUAAUCCGGAAUAAACAUGUCAAAUCAAAAUCUGUACCACUUAGUCAGAAUAAAAAUGCAUUAAUAAUUUUUUAAAUGGAUAUUGAAGUGUUGUUUGUAGUUCGGCAAUAGUUUUACCUUACUUGCUAAUUGUGCAUGAAUUGUUAAAUAUUAAUGUCUUUCGAAUUGUCUACUGUUAAUUACUAUAUGAUUGAGUUACUCACUGGUUGUUGUUCGAAUUCUGCAACAAUAUUUUUUUGGAAACUGUCUGUAUUUUCAUUUAAAAUUAAUAAAAUACUUGAAUUUAAGAUCUUAUACUGAAAAAAAAAAAUCAAAAACAAUAAUCAAUCUACCGAAAGGAAACUAUCUAAAACUGUUGCCCCUUUUUUUCUUCUUAAUGGCCAUGCGUCUCCAUAAUGUUACGUUAUUAAUUAAUACUUCUGAAGCUCUACACUAAUCAUAGUUUUUACAGUUGUUCGUCUGAAAAAAAAAAAAUAACAACAAUACAUUUACAGUCUUGGAAAAAAAUUGUGAAGAAGAGAUAAACUGUGUUCUUUUUUUUUUUUUUUUUUUUAUUUAAGGGGGGAUUUGUUAGUAGCUUAAGUAUUUAUGAUAAAUAUUAGUAAAUAAUGAGUAUGUGUGUCCAAUCACAAAUGGUGACUUCUCAACACUGUUAGAAAUUUGAAAUUUUAAUUGUUAGGAUUUGUUUGCUUUCGCAAUAAGGACUUAUCAUUCGUAGGGAUUUAAACCUACUUGUCAGAAAAGGGGAAGUAAACUUACUACUAACUUAAUUGCUAACUUAUUGGCUAUAAAGAGAGCUUAUCGUAGCAAUUGAGGAUUGCAACGAUUUUUGUCGAAAAUUGUUAAUAAUUUUAUUUGACAUAGCUUCUAAUGGUUCAACACCAGUAAGUCUAUGUAAUUCGAGUGUACCAAACCAAGGAGGACGCUUCAAAAUCAUUUUCAGAAUUUUAUUCUGAAUCCUUUGGAGCGUUUUCUUCCUUGUUGAACAGCAACUUGACCAGAUCGGUACAGCAUAAAGCAUUGCUGGUCUAAAAAUUUGUUUGUAAAUCAAAAGUUUGUUCUUUAAACAAAGUUUAGAAUUCCUGUUAAUGAGAGGAUAUAAACAUCUCGUAUAUUUGAUGCACUUGGCUUGUAUACUCUCAAUGUGCUCUUUGAAAAGAAGUUUUUUAUCAUAAAUUAGUCCCAAGUACUUAACCUUGUCGGACCAACUUAAAAUAACCCCAUUCAUCUUGACAACGUGAUUAUUGUUUGGCUUGAGAAAAGACGCCCUAGGCUUAUGCGGAAAAAUUAUCAUUUGAGUUUUAGAAGCAUUGGGAGAGAUUUUCCACUUUUGCAAGUAGGAAGAAAAAAUAUCUAAACUUUUCUGCAAUCGACUGCAUAUGACACGAAGGCUUUUUCCUUUUACGGAAAUGCUUGUGUCAUCGCAGAACAAUGACUUUGUGCAUCCUGGAGGCAAAUCAGGAAGAUCUGAAGUGAAUAUGUUGUACAGGACUGGCACCAUGACUGAACCUUGAGGUACACCUGCUCUGACAGGAAAUCUAUCAGAUUUUGAAUUCUGAUAGACAACCUGCAGAGUUCGAGCAGUAAGAUAAUUUUUUAAAAUUUUGAUAAGGAAAAUCGGAAAAUUAAAAGUUUGCAAUUUCGCAAUCAAACCUUUAUGCCAAACACUGUCGAAUGCUUUUUCUAUGUCUAAAAGAGCAGCUCCAGUGGAAUAACCUUCAGAUUUGUUAGCUCGUAUCAUAUUAGUAACUCUGAGCAAUUGAUGAGUAGUGGAAUGCCCAUGGCGAAAUCCAAACUGUUCAUUUGCAAAAAUUGAAUUUUCGUUGAUGUGUGACAUCAUUCUGUUAAGAAUAAUUCUCUCAAACAGUUUACUUAUUGAAGAAAGCAAACUGAUUGGUCGGUAACUUGAAACUUCAGCUGGAUUCUUAUCCGGCUUUAAAAUUGGAGUAAUUUUUGCAUUUUUCCAUAAUUUGGGAAAAUAUGCAAUUUUGAAGCAGCAAUUGAAAAUUUUCACUAAAAAUUCCAUUGUGCUCUCAGGGAGAUGUUUGAUUAGUAUAUUAAAGAUUCCAUCGUCACCAGGUGCUUUCAUAUUUUUGAAAUUUUUAAUAAUUGAUUUAAUCUCAUUCAAGUUAGUUUCAAUUAUUUCUGCAGGUAAAAAAUUCUGGGAAGAAAUUAUAUCAAAUUGACGUGUGACUUCAUUUUCAAUUGGACUCACAAGAUUCAAAUUUGAGUUAUGAACACUCUCAAACUGCUGAGCAAGUCUUUGAGCCUUUUGUUCAUUGGAUACAAGAAAACGUUCACCAUCUUUUAAAACUGGAAUAGGCUUUGAAGGUUUCUUAAGAAUCUUCGACAGCUUCCAAAAUGGUUUUGAAUAUGGUUUCAAUUUUUCAACUUUAGUCUCAAAAUUUUGAUUUCUCAGAAGAGUAAAUCUAUGUUUAAUCUCUUUCUGUAAAUCUUUAUAAAUAGUUUUAAAAACAGGGUCACGAGAACGUUGAUAUUGACGUCUGCGGACAUUUUUCAAACGAAUUAGAAGUUGAAGAUUUUCGUCAAUUAUUGAUGAAUCAAAUUUCACUUGAGCCUUUGGAACAGAAUAAUUCCUGGCAUCAACAAUUGCACAUUUUAAUGCUUCCAAAGCGGAAUCAAUAUUCACUUCGUUUUGCAAAUCAAGCUCAUUAUUGAAAUUUCUCUCAAUAUGAGUUUUGUAUCUUUCCCAAUUAGCCUUGUUAUAAUUAAAAACAGAGCUCAUAGGGUUUAAAACUGAUUCAUGUGAUAAAGAAAAAGUUAUUGGAAGAUGGUCAGAAUCAAAGUCAGCAUGUGUGAUCAAAUCACUACACACAUGACUUUGAUCUGUUAGCACCAAAUCAAUUGUUGAAGGGUUUCUUACAGAAGAAAAGCAUGUAGGACUAUUCGGAGACAAAAUAGAAUAGUAUCCCGAAGAACAAUCAUUGAAUAAAAUUUUUCCAUUGGAAUUACUUUGAGAAUUAUUCCAUGAACGAUGUUUAGCGUUAAAAUCGCCAAUUAUGAGAAAUUUCGAACGAUUUCUGGUGAGUUUUUGUAAAUCACCUUUAAAAUAAUUUUUGAGCUCGCGUGUGCAUUGAAAUGGUAAAUAUGCUGCGGCAAUGAAUAAAAUACCAAGUUCAGUUUGAACUUCAAUUCCCAAAGUUUCAAUAACUUUCGUCUCAAGAUGGGGAAGAGCACGAUGUUUGAUUCGGCGAUGAAUAACAAUUGCAACUCCACCGCCGGAACCCUGAAUCCUAUCAUAUCUAUGAACCACGUAAUUGGGAUCAUAUUUUAAUUUUAUGUUAGGUUUCAAAAAUGUUUCAGUAAUAAUUGCAAUAUGCACAUUAUUUACUGUUAAAAAAUUAAAAAGCUCAUUCUCAUUGGCCUUCAAUGAGCGAGCAUUCCAAUUUAAUAUUUUAAUUGUUUUAUUUAAAAUCAUUGCUAAAUUUUAAAUUAGAAACAAUUUUAAUAGUAAAAUUUGUGCCUAUUUGAAUGGCUUCAAACAUUGAUUUUGCCUGCAACAUGGCGUUCAUAAGAUCGAACAUUGCCUGUUGCAAAAAAGAAAGUUUACCUGCCGUAAUAGGCCCCAGGAAGUUGACAUUAGAAAAAAUAUUUUCGGUAGCAAUAUUAGCUGGUGUGAUAGGUGUACAAUUAUUUUCUAGCGUGUUUUGCUUACCCAUAUUAACGGUCAUUUUCGAACUACCAACACUAGGCGGUAUAAUGUUCGAACUACCUGUAACCUGUGCAUAAGUUAAACGGGUAUGCAAAGGAGUAGGUAAACUAUGCGUCACUGGUACGCUUGGAGAAUUUUGUUUUGAAGUUGGUUUUAAUUGAGAAAUUGAAUUUUGUUUACCUUGCCUUGCCUUAACAAUUGCUAAACGGACUGGGCAUUGAUAAAAAUUUGACAUAUGGUUGCCGUUACAAUUCGCACAGCGAAAAUUUUUACUCUCUUUCACAGGACAUGUGUCCUUUUUGUGAGAAGAGUCUCCACAAUUAAGACAUUUUUGGUCCAUGUUACAGAAUUUGGAACCAUGGCCAUAACGUUGGCAAGUACGGCAUUGGGUGAUAUGCUUUUCACCUCCGCCAUACUUCCUAUAAAUUUCCCACUUUACACGCACAUUAUACAAAGCAUGUGCUUUUUCAAAAAAUUUUAAGUUGUUAACCUCAUUGCGGUUAAAAUGAAUUAAAUAAUUAACAAGGGAAAUUCCAGUUCUCUGACUGUUUUCGCCUCGUGAUUUUUGUUUCAUUAGAAUAACUUGGGUAGGGGCUAUGCCAAGUAAUUCUGUUAAAGUAAGUUUGAUCUCAUCAACGGUUUGAUCGUUGGUGAGACCUUUCAAGACAACCUUGAACGGCUUGGCGUUCUUGGUGUCAUAUGUAAAAAAUUUGUACAUCUUGUCAGUUAAAUACUGGACAAGACGAUCACGACCCUUUACUGAGUCGGCUAAUAAGCGGCAUUCACCUCUACGGCCAAUUUGAUAGGUAACUUUAACGUCAGAAACAAACGUUGAAAGUUCCUUUUUGAAUAUAUUAAAUUCAGAAGAAAUAGUUACCACAAUAGGUGUAACUUUCUCCUUUUUUAAAGAUUUUAUAUUUUGUAUAGUUUCAUUAUUAACAACUUCCAUUUCAUCAGCUUCUUGCUCAGGCAAAAUAUCAAAAGGAUUGUCACUACAGACACUCGAAGUGUCAGAAAGAGAUGCCUCUCUUUUCCUCCCCGCAGCGAUGCGAGGUUUCUUUUUCCGUCCAGCCAUUUCAGGUGAUACGAAAAAAGUUAAAACAAAUGUUAAAUUCAAAAGUAGGAAGUCUUGAGAAAGACUGAUGGGAAAUAACUUUCAGGUAGUCUUUAAAAGACACACUGACAAAACACAAACUUUGAAGCUAUAGGCAGUCAAAGACCAGUCCACAAGCAACCGAAAAAACGUCUGACCUGUAGGACAGUUCAAGACGCACUGCCUGUGUUCUUUAUCGUGGAUCAAACGUGGAUUGAUUUUUUAUUUGAAAUACCAUAUCAGUAUAGAGAAAUCCAUAUACAGCCGUAAGAAUGUACACAGUAUACCAUUACUAAUCAUCGAAAAAAUACACCCAUAUCCUUAGAUAUGAUCAUAAACUAAAUAAAACGAAGCAGAAUUGUAUGUUAUGCUUGGUAGUGAUAAGAAAUAAUAGAAGUAACGGGUGAAAACUAAAAGUUUGGAAGUUUUUACUAUUGCUAUCAAAGAAAAACUGAAUUAUUUCACAUCAAGAUACAUUCAUUAUUACUAUAAAUAAUUGAAGAUUUUAAAAAGGUCCGUUACCGGCCUUCUGACGAAUCCAUCUUAUGAUUUCGAAUGCAUCUGUUGAUUCUACCAAUUGAUCUCUCAUUAUUUUUGCACCGAAGGAUCCCAAAAUCCAAAAGAAAUCUUCGAUUGAACGACACUGAGGUAGAUUCGUUCGUUCGUUUUUAGUUGUCACCCGUUACUCCUACAAAAACAGCGGUCGGAUGGUGAAGCAUCAAACCAAGUCCAGAGCCUGAAAAUUAAUUGAAAGUGUUGUUUAAUAAAAGUACUAAUGUUGAUUGGCUCCAACUGGUAUUAUCCUCAUAUUCUUAGACAAUCAAAAACUUGAACAUGGGUUAUCGUCAAGAUAAAAAUCCAUUAUCGUAACGGGUGACAACUAAAAAUCUGGAAUUUUUUUGAGACUUUCUUACUCCACAACAAACACGCUCAGAGAGGAUUGAGAAUAUGCAUAUAAAAGCUCUAUCUUUCUUCUUCAAGCCAGUAUUUCUUGUUUUGUUUAUGCAUGCAUGUUUUGUUUAUGCUUAUGUAUGCCUUUCGCGUACCUCAACUAUAAUCCGCCAGGAAGUUAGUGAAAGACCGGCCAGAGUAGUGCACAGAAAAGGACUUUUUCCUUUUUGUUAAAUCAUGGUUCAAGGCUAGUGGUUUGGCUAUCAAUAAAAAUAUAUACCAGAACGAAUGUUUGAACAAUUUUAUGAUUCCAUUUGUUCCUAAAUAUUAUACAGAUGAAAAUUAUAUGUUUUGGCCAGAGAAAAUAUCAUCACAGCACGUCAAAAAAACACAAACGUUUCUGAAUAACCACUCGCCUACAUUUGUACCCCAAAUACGCAACCCAACAAAUCCACCUCAGUAUUUUCUUUUGGUGCAAAAAUACCUGGAAAUCAACGAAUUGCGAACAGUUGAUCGGUUAAAUCAAAUGAUGCAUUCGAAAAGCGGACUUGAAGGCCGUACAACGCUCUUGUUUUGGCGUCAAAAGAAAACUUCGUCGGGAGGUCAAAUGUUCAAUAUUUUUCGUUAGUUCACAAUGAAAGUAUCUUCAUGAGAACUAAAUCAGUUUUUCUUUUAGUUUAUUCACCUUUUUUUAACAGCUGUAGAAAAAAAUUCCAAAUUUUUAGUUGUCACCCGUUAACUCUAAAUGGCACCGAAGAGUCCAAUACAAAUUGGAGCCUACCACUAAAAGUGAUUUCCACGUUUCAUUAAAACUUGUAAUAUGCUUGAUGCGUAUUUUUGGAGUCGGAAUGAUGCCAAGAGACUUAAAAACGACUCCAGACGAACCGGAAGUCACCAUGUAGAAUUUAAUAAUGGCUUCUGAAGUCGAUUUCUGAUUCCAUAGACCAUAUAAUUUUGUUUCUCAGCAACCGGAAGUCGCUAUUUUAGAAUUCAAAAUGGCGUCUGAGAACAUUUUAUGGUCUCUGGGCAUCAUCCCGAUUCCGAAAAUACCCGUAGUGCCUGCUAUUUGGAAAAUUCCGUUGUUUUUCAGAAUCUGGAAAUUGCCUUUUGGAAUCUAAAAUAAUGUCUGGGGUCAUUUUCCAGUCGCUGGCUACUCUGGCUCAAUACACCUAUUGUGGCGUAUUCGGCCAUUUUAGGUUGUUUUCUAGAAACGGGAAGUCGUCAUCUUGGAAUUCAAAAUGGCGUCUUGGCUAUUCACCGAUCUCUGGACAUCAUCCCGAUUGUAAAAAUACCUGUCUUAAAGAAUGAGAGCUCCAGGGAAAUCUGAUCCGGAAGGCUCAUUUGGAAUGCUAAACCAGAAUUGUGAGACUCUGAGCAUGAGCAUGAGCAUGAUUGACCGCCCGCGGUUGCUACUCCGUUAUUGCCAGAUCACCUGUAAUUACACAGAGAACCAAUGGAUGAUGCUUGGGAUUAACAUUCAUCCUCAAUGUGUAAAAACUGGUGACCUUAAUCUUUAUAUUAGGCAAUACCAGCGCCGGCCGCAUCCGAAUGCAGGUCAAAGAAGGAAUGUGUAUGGGAAUAUGUUGACGUGAUACUCGCUUUAUUGGAAGCCGAGAACACCUCUGCACUUCCACGAGAAAUCAAUGGGAUGUUGGAGAAAAGGGUAAGGUUUGCAGCAGGUUUCGUUUUGGUAAACGAUGCGCUGAGUUCUAAUACUGGGUUCAUAAUAACAAAUAUCGCGCGUACGAGUUCAUUAUAUCUUCUACGGAAAUCAUAACGCGAUCCGAACUCAUUCCGGUUGAUGAUGUAACACCGCAAAAAUAAAGCGCACGCGAGGAUACCGGACCUAUAACCUAAUCAAGACAGACUCAAAUAUUCGAAAAUAUGCUUAUGAAGUCAUUAUGCAACUACCGAAACGUAUCUCUCAUUGAUUUAUCUCAGCUGACUACACAAUGUUACGAAGCAACCAGAUAUGCAUUAACCAAAAACAAGAAAAAAGUAAAUAUAUAGACCCUCAACACAUACUGCAAGCGGUCAGCAAGAGAGCUUCAAAAACGGCCUAUUUGCUUGGCCAUCGCCGUUAGAAUCGAACGAAAAAAAAACAAGAAAAAGAAAAAAAAAGAUGUGUGCGUCGGCAGACGAGUCGCGUACAAUCCUGAUAAUAAUUAACAAAUAAUUGCGACAUUUGGUGGCGAUUAAUUACAAUGUUUUGUCGCGAUUAAUUAUUUACGAUAUUUAUCGAACGAACGGAACCUACUCUGAAUCACUGCGUGCUGGAAUAGAACCAACGGGUGGACAGUCUGCGAAUAAAUGGUUUGGUACACCUCGUAAGUCACAACACACCGAAAAUCUAUAUUUGAGCAAAGCUCACCUGGGCCGAAAACACGUUUACCCCGGAAAGUUAUGCGCGACCGCUCUAUUCCCUGUUACCGACGCAUACGCGCGGAGACACGGUAUUUCGCGUUGAUUACCGCUUACUUCUUGAAUAAUAAAGCGAAGAUACCUACUGAGUAUGAAAAACUGGCAAAGUUUCAUGCAUUCAUAGCUAGAAAAUUUUUAAAAAUGCAAAUAUGCAUAUCUAACAAGACCGAGUACUAAUUAGAUUUAACAAAAUGCCAAAACAAUCGCAAUCAAAAUUUAUUUGCCAUGCUGACCGACAAGAUUUCUACUUAAUUAAAUUUAAAAUUGACUAUGUGUUUCAGUAUUUACUCAAAAGCUAGAAAAAUCAUAAAACAAGGGCAUAAGACUGCUCAAAAUGUUCGUAACAGCGUCUCCGUUCACCUGAGGAAAUAAUAUCAACAAUGAAGACUGACGCGCAACUGUUUCGACGCAGUUUCGGCCCAAUCGGUAGAUUAAAAAAAUUCAAAACCGGCUUCCACGAAGCCGGGGUCACAAGCAGGGAUGCCACAAACACAGACCAAUCUGUGCAAAACAAAAUUCCCACACAAGUAUAUGUACAUACAGAACUGCAAACGCGCCCUUCAAAAUACAGGCCGAUGUUAGGCCGACGCCACACUGCAAAGGACGCGGCGCGAAAUGCGUCAUUUCUCAGGCUAAUGACAUACUGAGGCGUCAAAUGAAGCGAAGCAAGAAGCGUCGCAAAGGUGUCGGAGCUACUUCUUCGAACGUCUAUAUGAAACGCUCAAACCAUACUCGAGCGGCAACGACGCGUCGGUAGAGGCGGCGAAACAGAACGAGUAGUUUUUUGACGCGCGUAGACGUACGCGGUAAUACCUUGUUCAGACUAAAUCUAUCAUCGCCAGGUGCUUUAUAUUUGUUUCAUUUUGGUUCGGUAAUUGGAAAAAAGCAAAUAGAAUACAUUUUCGUUUAGAAAAUGUUAAAAUGUUUAUAAAAUGUUAGUGCAGUAAUACCAUGUCAGACUAAACCUGAUAUCGCCAGGUGCUUUAUAUUUCGCUUUAUUUUGGUCUUAAAUCUUAAAAAAAGAAAAAGAGGUCAUUUUUCGGAUAGAAAAUAUUAUCGGGAAAAAGUGAUUUACCGUGCUUGAAGAAGCAAACAAAUCUUCAUUGGACGAAUUCAUAUUUCCUCUAAACAAAACCGGUGCUGGAAUCUAGGAAUAUGACAACACAACGCAUUUGCGACGCUCGCUCCAGUAUGUCAUAGGAAGCUUCACCCAACGCUUCUGUUUAUUCCGCUUGUUAUACGCUCAACGCUUCGCCUCAUUUGACGCCUCAGUAUGUCAGUAGCCUCACGCAAGGAGAAAAAAAACAACAAUGAAAACUGGCGCGCGUUAAAACACAUCCCGAACUGUUUCGACGCAGUCAUCCGAACAGCAUCGGCCCCAGUAUGCACCGUACCUACUGUAAACGAUUGAGUGAGAAAAUUCCAAAAACGGCAUCUAAAAAACCGCGAUAACAAUCAGAGAUGCCACAUAUGUAAAUUUAAAUUUAUUUGUGAAUUAUAAAUUUCUCAUCCAUACAGUUUACAGUUUACAGAUUUGUAAAGCCAUAUAGAUUCCUACGAUUUUCUACGAAAUUUACAAAUUUUUAUACAGACUUUUAUACUGGAAAUAUGUAAAACAUUUUCUAUGUUCAGUAUACAGAAAUGUAGGAUCCCCACAAAAUGAAUUGUGAAAAGCAGAAAAAAAACAUUGGUUCCCUUUUGCAUGCAAAUCAAACAAAAAAAAAAAAAAAAACACAGGCAAAACGUCACCAACACUAAUACUUAUCCUUUAAUUCUCGCGUCCUCUCUGAACCAUCAUGCUGGUGCGAGAACGUGCCGCACGCAAGAGCAACCUUGCACUUACUCACACACACUUAUGGCAAGGCAAGGGCUAGCGGGAAACGUGCUCCGCCACCGAAAAGAAAUGCAGCUCUCACAAAUUAGCCACAAAAUUGCACGAAUCUUUCACGGAUUUCAACAUUGACGUCUCUCUCACCGAUAAUACGAAACCGCCACAUUUCGUAUUACCUUUUACUCCGCCCUUUGCACUUAAAAUAUAACGAUUACGCGACGGGAAGGCUAAAUAAAAUACGUCGACAUUAUUGCACUAUCCUCAAUCGUACACGACAACCCUCGUAACACUUCAUCGCGAUUCAAAUCAAACAUUUGGAAUUCACACCGAAACAACAGCGGCCUUCAUUCAAUAAACGUAGACACAUCCCUUUUCCGGAUAGAAAAUAUAUCUUAUAAAAACUUGAAAAAACGAUGAAAAAUUCCGACGAGAAACAUUUUCACGUCCGUUCUUGAUCACAGCUUGCUUCGAUCCGCUAAACCAUAAUUGUGAGAUUCUGUUGAAAAAAUAUGAAGCUAUAAAGUUCCUCAGUUUCGGAGCAUAUCCGUGGAAAACAGGAUUUCCGGGAAUAAGAAAAAUACCUUUAAAGAAACAAUUUUUUCACCUUUCUUGCUGUACAAAAACAUUGUUACUACAUUUUUUUCUCACGGUUACAGAAAUUUAGUGCGUCAUCUUGCCCCGCGGCCAUUGCGUAUUUUUACUCAACAAUGAGUUUUCCAACUGGUUUGAUUUUUAUGCCAUAUUUUCGACAAAAUAAAUUUACCUUACAAACCACAAUUGGGUUGUUAAGCUACUCACGGAUUUCUGAUUUUUAUAUAUCAGGUAAUAGAGUAUAAUUUUCUGAGCAAAACGUGAUUUUCAAAAAUUUUAUAUGAUAUAAAAUUUUUGAAAAUCACGUUUUGGACAAUGGACAAUGGACAAUGAUUGUCCUUCGAUUUGUAAAUGAAAAAUAAAAAAAUCACUCCAAAUCGCUACAAUGACAGUUGGUAUAUGGGCGAACUGUCAUUGUAGCGAUUUCGAACAGUUUUAUUUCGUGAUUUAAAAAUUGAAUGAAAACGAUAGAAUAUUUUUAAAAAUCAGGUUUUGCUUAGAAAAUGCAGCUCUUUCAGGUGACAUAAAAUACUGAUAUAGCUAAACAACCAAAUUAUGCAAGCAUUGUUCAGGUUCUGUUGUUUCCGAGUUUCUGUAGUUUUCGAAUAAGAGAAUCGUAAUUCCCAAAACUGAGAAAAUUAGAUCAAAACACAACUUUCCUCAUACCUUCCCAAUAUUUAAACGGAAUCAUGUUUACAUGUGUGAAUAACGUCAGUCGUCAAUGCUGCAAAUUCAUACGAUGUUGCCAGUUUAUUUUGCUCGUAUGUUUCGAAAAGACCAAUGCGUACUUUUGCCCCUCACCCAGUCAACAUUUUCAUACGUAUAAUAAUGUUUUGAUUCCAAUACCCGCACUCAUAUAUAUCAUAAAUACUCGCAUUUGAUGCCCUAAAACAGCAUAUAAAUACUAUUUUGGAGGCGAUAUACGUACUGAGGAAUAAUAGUAUGCAAUUCAUUGAUAUACGUAUUUAUAUACGAUAAUUUCCGAUUGAAAGUGAUUUGUUUCAUGCUAUAAUUGUAAGCCUACAAUCGUAAAUCGGUUAGACUCCACUAUGAUAUACAAUUAAAACUGAAUUUCUGCGCAUGAUAUUAAGCGUGGUAUACGAUUUCGACUUUGUUAAGAAAUAUUUGCGAUAAUUUUCAUGCAUUGAUAUACGAUUUGUGGUUGGGCACUGGGCACUGUUCUAUUGUUCAAACCACUAAUUACUAAACAUUUAACGUAGGUCGUUAAAUUAGGUGAGGAACAAGUUGACCUUGCCAUUCCGAUCACUUUUUCGAAAUCGAGCUUCAAACAAUUCAACGCAUGGCGCGCGACUACAUUCAAAGCAACGCAACAUGUUGUGACUGUGAUGUGUCUGUGUGAGUGUAGUGUAUAUUACUCCGUUAUUGACUUGUUGCCACUGUUUGCAUAAGUGAGCCUUUAACUUUGGAUGUAUUCACAAAUAACGUAAGGCAAAAAUUGCAUUUUCGACUCCCUUUCUCCCCAUUCGUAUAGUUUAUUAAUAUACCAAAUUCAUGGAAAAUUAAAAUCACGUUUUUCUGAUAAAACCUAACAUGGCGGCGAGAUCCAAAAUGGUGGCCAUUUUUCUCUACUUCAAAUAAAAUUUUUAUCAUUCCUUUUUGAAACGACGUGCUGUUUGUAGUAAGCUUAAUGACAUGAAUAGAAAUAGAUCGAUAAAAAGAUCAAGAAUUGUUCUAAAUAAAGGUAACUUUUUUAAAAACUGUUUGGUCACUUGGUGUCCGAGGGAUCCAUCGAUAUGAACUUACCAAAGUACUUACUUCAUUUUAUGGCGACAGAUCGUUGAGAUCAUAUGCCGAAUCCAGAGUACAUCUCCACAAAACUCGGCUGCUUCUCUCCAGUCUCCCCUUACACCCGCUGCUCUGGCAUCCUCGUCGACAGCACACAUCUAGCGCGUGCGAGGUCUGCCUCGAAGUCGUCGGCCUUUAUCCGGUUCUCUCUGAGCUCUAUUCGCAGGUGCGUUUCACUGUAUCGUACGUCAAUAAACAGAUGAUGUGUCUGCAAGUUGUGUUCUGGGAACUUUUCGAAUAUCUGUCGUACGGUAAACAUUUGGUCUGCUGUAGAUCGUCGCACUCCAAAACCGCAUUAGUAUUCUCCAACAAAGGCUUCCUGUAACGGCUUCAGUCGCUGGAACAGGAUACGGGAGAGAAUUUUCGAAAGGAAAUAUAAGAGGGUUAUGCUUCGAUAAUUACUAUAGUCGAAUCGAUGUUUCUUCUUGUAGAUAGGGCAAAUGAGUCCUUCCAUCCAAUUUAUGGAUAGUUAUUCCUCAGACCAUACCCCUAGGACAAUCUGGUGAAUUGCAAUACACAGCCGCUCGCUUCCGACUUUGAAAAGUUCGACCAGUAAGCCGUCCUUCGUAGCGGCUUUGUGGUUCUUCAGCUCUUUGCAAGCAUUCUUCACCUCACCUAAUGUUGGUGGGUUCACAGCUUAUCUGUCCUCUCCAAUUCAUAUCCUGCUCCCCUCGACGACUCUCAUACCUUUCUCACUGUUCAACACCACUGCAAAAUGAUGCUUCCAACGCCUGGCCACCUGCGAUUUAUUGUUAAUCAGGCUCCCGCCCUGUCAUUACACCUGGCAGGUACCGGCACGGUCCGGUUCCUGGUUCUGUUGAUCGUUCUAUAGAAGCUCCUCGUGCCGUGCCUGGUGAAGCAAUUCUCCGCAUCCGCGAAGACGCGAUCGUAGUGCUUACGUUUCUUACGGCGGUGGAGCUUCUUUUCUUCUUGGAGCUCUGCUGAGUUGAACAAACGGAUAAGAAUAUUAUAAAAUCAAAUAUCUGUUGUAUUUCUGAUGAGUAAUGUGCAAAAAUACACAGGGGUUUUCUUCUUUCAUACCUUUUUAAUAUUCCAAUGCUAAUAGCUGAUAUUUUCAUUCUUUUUGACCAACCAUACAACACUUACAUCUUGUAUAAUUUCGACUGUACCACAAACACUUUUUUUUUGGUUACUGAAAAUUCGAGUUUUUUCUGUGCUUUCACUACAUGAAAUUCAUCGUCAAUGAGGACGCAUGGUUUCUUGUAUUUCAUUACAGAACCAAGCGUGUCCAUCUUCAAUCCAACAGUGCGCUCAGAAACCUUCUGUGUUUUUCAAGUUUACUAGUCUUCUAACAUCUAUCUCGUUACUUCUGCAGUUACUAAAGUUUGGAAAUAAAAUCACUCACGGUCGAAAAAAUAAAGUAUAACGAGUUCAAGGUGAUGUGGCACUGUCGCAUAACAUCCGGUAAACAAGGUAAACAGUAUGCAGUAAGCAGGGUUACUGGAACCAACAACACUAUGUUAUGUACCAAAUGCAGAUGAAUUAUGAUAUUAGUCCUGUUGAAACGAUGUUCGAAGGCUAGCACGUUUGGCAUUGAAGACAGCAUGUAAUAGAUGAAAGCUUCUCAAUAAAUGAAAUAUAUCUCGCUAUAUUUUGAAUUGAAAUUUUACGUAAAAUAACGAAAAGGUCACUCAAAAGCUCCCCUCUUUAAUUGAUACGUAAUUAGUGGCACACAUUUCUCCUCAUUUGCGCACAGAUUAACUUAAAAAUCCCAUUACAAUAUGCGUCAGUCAGUGCAUAUAUGUGUAGUUAUAAAUGUGCGCUCAUCAUGUGUAAGCUGUGAACCAGGUAAACGUAUUUCCUUUAGGGCGUGAACCAUAUGGCAAAGGGACGUGCAGGAAACAAUAUCGUAAACAUGCAUCACACGUCCCCUGGAAGCUGGAAGAUGCUAGAAGUUUACGCUGCUUCUCACAACAACAACCGAGCAGGUGCAAAUUGCGCUUUCCAUCACGUGCUAGCCCAAUGUGUGUUGGUUUGUUGGUUGCCCGCUCCAGUGGAGUACCGUUUAACGCCGUCGGUGCCUUCGAGUGUUGCCGUAGUUCCGUUUUACCUAUAUCAUGAUGCAUCCCGUUGUGAUAUACAUAUAUGCACAGAAUAAUCAGUUCGACAUGGAACUGUAGACUGAUAUAAUUCAAAAUUUUACGCCAUAAUAUUAUUUAUCAUUGUGGCAGAAAGUGCCACCGAAUAGUUUAACCGUUUACAAUAUUUCACAUCAUCAGCUCAAUUCCGCAGUCUUAGCAAAAAAAUCGUAGCCUGUCUGAAUGUGCCGCGAUAUGUCACCCAAUUUUGGUAACAGAUGCUAGUAUUAAAAAACUUUCCUAUUCCCAGCGUAGAGCGCAGAUUCGUUAUCACACGAUUCGCGUUCGGCCAAGGAGGUGCACAAAAAAUGGCCCCAGUUUGCCAUUUCCACUUUAUUCCUAUCCGACUUCUGGCUGGGGCCAGAAAAGAAAGGUGACAUUUUGUAAGCCCUCUAUCGUCGGUUGGUUUCCCAACGCCGGAAAGAAUUUUUAUUGCUGGUAGAAGUUGGGUACACGUUCUCGACUGAGCUCACUUAUGGUUUGUAUAUCAGUGCCUCUUACAAUCACAGCCAAGGCUAGAAGUUGACAAUACUAUGUACAUUCCCAUGUGGACCAAAUUCAAACGAUAUGAAAAAAGUAUAAACAGCUUCCAGCUGCUUCGUUCUUUUUUUUUUGCGUCAGUGAGGAACCUGAGCGCGCAAUGACCAGAAGGGCAAAAGUUUAUCAUUCGUUUACUCGAAUCGCGUAGGCAAACGUGACAUCAUCGUUGGGUAAAGUUUUUGGAAAAUAAAUUUAUUUUCAAGAGAACUUUAAACACAACUCUAGGAUCAGCUCCCAUGGUUGUUUAGAGCACAAGGUUUGUACCAGCGGUUGCCAAAACUAAAUGUGCCUGGGAAAAUUGGUAUCUUGAGAAGGCUUACUUGAAAUGAUCGAUUUCCGAAGGUAGGUACAUGAUUUUAUUUUCGUUUCAAUUAAAGUCUAAUCUUAAAUCACUGAAGUUUGAAAAUAAAACCACCUCGAUCUAGCAAGGUCAGUAAUAAUUCCAAAUUUCACUAUACGAUUGCAUUCUAAUUUCAUUGAGUAUUCAACUCAUCAAAAUUCUUAUUUCGAGGAAGUUUCUGAAGUAAACGAUUAAGAUAGUAUUUACUUUAAUAUUGCAUCACAUUGUACCUUUUCACCAGACCAACGCUACCGGGGCCAAUCGUGAAGAUUACCUGCGCCAGUCUUUCGUUCGUGAAUAUGCUAAUUUCCAGCAACCGUUUUGUUUCUUUCCUUUACUAGCGCUUCCGCUUCUCGUUCGGGUGACCAUUAGCCAUCCAAAUCAGCAAUGACGCCGUACAAAUGACGACAGCAGUCCAACUUUUAUCUUGCAUUAUUACUCUAGAGCGAAGAAUUUUCUGAGACUUAGCGAAGGGGUGAGCUGAUUACCGCCCUUACCGUUGUAGACAGCAUUUGUAGAAGUGUAAAGGUGGCUGUUGAGUAGCUAAUUAGAGGUUUGUUUUUUCCUGGACACUCGUGUGAAAGUUGAACAAAGAGAUUAAUUAAAUAUAAGCACUUGAGUCGCCGGAAGAGCUCCGUUAAUAGUUGAUUACUAGUACUACUGUAAUCAUAAUAAUUGUGAAAACAUACAUUCGGUGUCUGUAACUCGAAUAGUUUGACUCAGCAGUCAUAAACAAACAACUGUCAAAACCAACCGAGAUUAACUUUUCUUCUGUGUGUUUUUCACUUUCGAUCAAAGUGUCGGUCAAGUUACAAUCAUCAUCUUCGACCGCAACAGAAAAUAAAACAAAAUCCCUAUCAUUGCGUUCAACGAAUUCGACAAUUCGAUUACAGUCACCAUGAUGAUGAUGGACAAUACUCUGCGCCCUUGUAUAUCUAACCGCAAUUCGGAGGCGUAUCAUGCCUACCAUCAGGCGAGUAUUGUGGGGUCUAUGAUUUAUGUUCAUUCCCUUUCGACAAUUUCAUGAAAAUCGGACGCCUGUAUCUGACCUUAGCCCGGUACUCCCGGUGCCCUGCCAGCAUAGACGAUUGCCGCCACUCAGCGAAGAGCUGGAAUCGAAAAUAAAAAGUACACACUCAUCGAUAAAACCAACAAUGAUUGAUUGAUUAAUUUGGAUAUCACAUUUUUCACAUUUUCUUCUCCAAUAUGUACCUACCUACCGUUUGCACAGAUAUCUCCUAUGAACAGCAUACAACACAUUUUAUCCUCCCAUACCAGCGCACACAUUUGCUUCACUAUCACGAAAACGAUCAGAUUGAACUACCAAGGCGAUUGCCAAUCAGUCAGUGAAAAACUGGAACGGCUUUUUUCUCUUCCGACGCAUUCGGUGGAGUCUUCCGUUACGUUCUGGGUUUGUGUGUUAUGUAUGAAUAACGCGCCUUCGCACCAAUAGCCGGGCUUUAGGAAGCGCAGAAAAAUGGAUCGUAACCAUUAGCCUUGCGGCGAAAAGGUCCAAGCACUGCGAAUUCGUUUGCCCCACUAGUGGAUUCAUACUUGGGAACAGUCAACGAAGCGCAAAACUAGACUUGUCAAAUCAUCGUCAGUGUGCUCAGCAGCGAGAUCACAUCCUCCCCAACGUUGGUCUUUUUCUUCCAUUGGAGCAAGCUGAAUUUCAAGUAAGGUUCAGAAAAAAACCGCAGCGGAUGAAUCUUUUCGAAUCGAUUGUGUAAUUGAUGUAUAUGCAGAUAUGAUGAAGCGCCUUUUUAGAGUAAAUAUAAUUCAAUGAUACAGAUGUUUAAGCAAAUCAUUCUUGUAAAGGAUGUGUAGGAAUAGGAAGUGAGAAAUGAAAUGUGUACUACCAUUCUAUGGUUUCGACCUGGUGCCUGUCCUGACGAUACAUUCUGUUGGAUUGAGAUAUUGUAAAUUUUUAUUUCGAUAAGUUUCACUAAAGCAUCCUUUUUAAUACAAAUUUUACUUAAACAUCAGUAUUAGGUGUCAGCACAUUUGUCAGUCAGUACCGGAAAACGAUUUUCGUUUUCGAUUAUCACCCUAACUGUCUAUAGGAAUGUUUCUGUUUAAUUGGUUGAAGUGUGAAAUAAA
Long non-coding RNA from Wyeomyia smithii (pitcher-plant mosquito), 18423 nucleotides. RefSeq lists it as uncharacterized. The transcript has 4 exons. NCBI's taxonomy places the organism in Eukaryota, Metazoa, Arthropoda, Insecta, Diptera, Culicidae. The record is from RefSeq and is a predicted model, not a curated record.